This is a long non-coding RNA of Carassius auratus (goldfish), 131 nucleotides long. RefSeq lists it as uncharacterized. The record is from RefSeq and is a predicted model, not a curated record. NCBI's taxonomy places the organism in Eukaryota, Metazoa, Chordata, Actinopteri, Cypriniformes, Cyprinidae. The transcript has 3 exons.
GGACCAUCUGGUGAACCUGGACCUCCAGGUCAACAGGGGAAUCCAGGCAUACAGGGCUUCCCUGGUCCACAGGGGCCUAUAGGCCUGCCAGGAGAGAAGGGCCCUGAGGGCAAACCUGGAAUGCAGGGCCU